CGUUGCAAAGCUUGCUACUUUGCAAUGGGUGAGCCCGGCAUAGCAUAAACCGGGAGGGCGGGAACG
RNAcentral lists this small RNA (66 nucleotides) under unclassified sequences. Its description in RNAcentral is "D12-methyl RNA". It matches the Rfam family "D12-methyl RNA". The record is from Rfam by way of RNAcentral.